This 204-nucleotide ribosomal RNA is filed under the name Escherichia coli. RNAcentral describes it as "partial 23S ribosomal RNA". It matches the Rfam family "Bacterial large subunit ribosomal RNA", at positions 2739 to 2925 of the family's 2925-position model. RNAcentral also lists the same sequence under 1 other name. Lineage: Bacteria; Pseudomonadati; Pseudomonadota; Gammaproteobacteria; Enterobacterales; Enterobacteriaceae. The record is from RNAcentral.
UGCCCGGUAGCUAAAUGCGGAAGAGAUAAGUGCUGAAAGCAUCUAAGCACGAAACUUGCCCCGAGAUGAGUUCUCCCUGACUCCUUGAGAGUCCUGAAGGAACGUUGAAGACGACGACGUUGAUAGGCCGGGUGUGUAAGCGCAGCGAUGCGUUGAGCUAACCGGUACUAAUGAACCGUGAGGCUUAACCUUACAACGCCGAAG